This 2406-nucleotide long non-coding RNA is filed under the name Phaseolus vulgaris (common bean). RNAcentral's name for it is "long non-coding RNA (PVUL_LNC003435)". The record is from RNAcentral. Lineage: Eukaryota; Viridiplantae; Streptophyta; Magnoliopsida; Fabales; Fabaceae.
UUUCACAACUUAAUCAAAUAAGGUAAUGCUGCUUCAAUUGAUUAGCUCAGACACAAUCAAGUAACAGUUUCAUUUUUUUUAUCAAUAAAUAAUUAAAUUAAAUUAAAUAACUUUUUUAUCACUAUUAGUUGUAAUUCUAUACCUUCAUAUAUUUACCAACUAUAACGAGCCUAAACCAGAUUGGUAGCAACACCUCAUUAGCUGCAACACACAUCCAAUAACAUUCUAUGAUUGAUGCAAGCCUUGAUUUAGCUUUGGAUAUCAACCGCCGUGAUUUGGCCAAGGACUGCCAAAUCCACCAGCAGAACCACUGAUAGCGUCCCACAUCCCUUCACUUGGGUUAAGUUUUCCCUGCAUAACUCUUUGAUGGACCACCUUCAAAAUCCAUCUACGUGUUGUCAAUAACAGCGUGGAUCCCCUCAACCAAUUUUUCCAAACCAGCAUAUUAAAACUGAUGGAGCAGCAUAGCAUCAAAGGUGAUACCAACAGCUUCAUGUUUGAGAUCACACCUCACACCAAUGCAUCCACACAUAGAUGAGUACUUGCAACACUUUAAUACCUCACUGCGGAACCAUCAUCCAACAACUGUCGUGAUUUGGCGUGAUUAGGCCAAGGAUAGCUACUGCCAAAUCCACCAGCAGAACCACUGAUAGCAUCCUACAUCCCUUCACUUGGGUUAAGUUUUCCCUGCAUAACUCUUUGAUGGACCAUCUUCAAAAUCCAUCUUCGUGUUGCCAAUAGCAGCGUGGAUCCCCUCAACCAAGUUUUCCAAACCAGCAUAUUAAAACCGAUGAAGCAGCAUAGCAUCAAAGGUGAUACCAGCAGUUUCAUGUUUGAGAUCACACCUCACACCAAUGCAACCACUCAUAGAUAAGUACUUGCAACACUUUAAUACCUCACUGUGGAACCAUCAUCCAGCAACCCUUUCCCAACCCAUCUUUGACAUCACAGCACAACACCAUCCAUGGAUUCGUGUUUAGGCCAACUAUCCAUUGUCCUGUUUUUUAUGGCCCUUUAUUAAGAGAUAAAGAGCUUCACAUGCUUCCACAACUCGCAAUGAACCAGCAUCCCAACAAUCCAUCCAGCAUCUCCAACAGGACCAGCACACCAGUAUGGGCAACACCAUCAACCAUCAAACCAGGCAACACUGGUUUAACAUCACAACUGCCAUUCAUUCCAAACAUAAAACCAAGGAUACUGCUUCCAGGUCCUUUCAGCAUUUUCGAUUGAGUCCCUUAGAAGGAGAUAACCGUUAUAGAUAUCUUGCUACCUAUAUAGUAGUGGAACUGCUACUCCACCCACCUCCUUCACAAUCACCCCAUUUCUCACUUCCUACCUCCUCCAAUACAUAGUAGCACUACCCUCCCUCCUCCUUCAAGACAUCAUGGUUCCACCAUACGCUUACUUAUAGCUGCUAAUGCAAGGCAUUGGAUUCAAUACCCAAUCUGCAAAGGAGUAAUUAAAAUUAUGUGCCUUAUGUUUCAUCCAUAACCACGAUAUAAGUUGGGCCUUUUGGAGCACUUCUUCUGCAUCUACAACUCAUUGGUUGAACACAACUGAGUUUCUAUGGUCCCAUAAACACUGGACAAUAGCUGCCCAUACCCCUUUCCACACCAGGUUUUGUUUAUUACUACUCUGAGACAGGUGGAAGCUCUCAAAGUGAGGUAUAAGGUCUUUAUGUUGGACGAAUAGAAUUCCAAUCCAUUGAAAGCACAAGGACCAAACACAUAAAGCAUAUUUGCAUUCCAAGAAGAGGUGUUGACAAGACUCUUCCUUGGUUUGACAUAGAGCACACAUAGUGGUGUUUAACACCAUCCCUCUCCUACUCAGACACUCUCUUGUUGGCAUUCUACCCAGCAAAACCCUCCAAGCUGUGAUCAACACUUUUGGGAACGCCUUACUCUUCCACAGAUACUUGAACGCAUCAAUUUGGGGGGCCCAUUCAUCCUUGGCUAGGCAUUCGUAACCAGAAUUCACCGUAUAGCACCCUGAUUCGUCACCUCUCCACACCUUGUCGUCCUUCUCUUCCUUGAGAACAGUGGCACUAGAGAUGUGCCUACCAAGCUCAAUUACCAACGGUAUCUCCACUCAAAUCUUCCAUGCCUCCACCUUAAUGUCCACUUCCACGUUGAUUCUUCCCACACACCUACCACUUCCACCUUUUGACCUUGGUUUAACGAUAGUGAAUAUAAUCUGGGGAACAUAGAUUUGAGAUUAGAGUUUCCCACCCAGACAUCCUCCCAGAACCUUACUUUAUCUCCGCUCCCAAGCUUCCAUCCAACUUCUUCUUGAAACCACCCAUUUCCUCCUCCCUCCUUACAAACCUUCAAUAAAUCUCUCCACCACCAGGAUUGUAAUUUUGAGGCAUUGUAGAUUCAUAACGAAAUGAAAUGGAAAAGAUCCAAC